RNAcentral lists this ribosomal RNA (118 nucleotides) under Heniochus acuminatus (pennant coralfish). Its description in RNAcentral is "partial 16S rRNA". The record is from RNAcentral. Lineage: Eukaryota; Metazoa; Chordata; Actinopteri; Chaetodontiformes; Chaetodontidae.
AGCCUACUAGCUAGUCCCCCAAUCAAAGACAACCAUCCAUAUCAAUAACCCCUAAAACACGUAAUACAUAUUAAACAAAACAUUUUUCCCCUUUAGUAUGGGCGAUAGAAAGAGAAGC